CGGGUUCCGUCCCCUCCUCGCCCCGGCCUGUAACUGCUGCGGGGGCCGCUUUCUGGGCCCGCCCCUCCAGGCCAGGAGCCUUUUUCAAAAUGUGGCGGUGGCAGGGAAGGUUGUCUGCUCCAGAGGCUUCCCUAGAGUGAAGAGCUCUACUAUGUAUGCUUUAUGCGGCAGAAGGAGUGCUUUGGAGGAGUUUUUAAAUUUGUUUUUUUUUUAAAUCUUAUCGGUUUUAAUUGUAGCAAUGAUUCAAGAAACGUUAGUAGGUGCCCAUAACUUCGGUGGUGGAGAUCCAAAAGUGAACAAGACAGUGUUCUGGCUGCUAAAUUCUUCUUAACUGGUUAUGCCUGGAGACCUUCACUUGGUUCUGUGCCAGCACUGCCCAUGAACUUCAUAGACUGUGAUCUUUGCUAAGGCCUAAAUGAAUGAAGUGCAGGUGCAGGACCGGAAGCAGAAGACAGAAAGUGGAGACCAGAUGUUUGAAGCUGGGUAAAGGCAGGGAUGGAGCAGGAACCGAGGAACAAACCUUGGAACUAGGCUCUGAGAUGUAUAAAGGCACAGUGAAUUCCUGAAUCAUCCUUUGAUCUUCCACAAGACUCAGUAUCACUGAUUAACUACAAUUUGAAUAUAGUUCAUCACUGAAGGAAUGAGUGAGUGAAUGAGAAAGUGAGCAAAUGAGGCCGUGGAGGUCACUUAAACCAGGGAUCAGGUUCAUAGAGGUCACCCAACACAAGAUGGAAUAGUCAAGUAAACCAAGUUUACGGAGUUAGACAAAACUCCAUAAGGCAAGGUCAACAAAGGCAGCUCUGACGGACUGUUCAAUCCUGACUUUAGGCUGAUGCUGGUCUCUACUCUGUCUUCCUCCUGAGAGUAGGGGGCCUGGGGGCCCUUAAAUAAUUGCUGGUGUUAAAAGGGAGUUCAAUAUUUUCAAGCAUACCUAGCUUCUGUUUGAAGAGAGACAGGGUAGAAGAAUUACCUGGAAGGGAUAGGGUACACACUGCCACCUCCAUUGCUAUAACGUUUUACUCUUGUCAACAGACUUUCACAUAUAUGCUCUUGAGUCAAGCACAGGAAGAAAUAAAUUUUGCUGCUGAAUUUGAAGCAAUUGGCCAUGGAAGCCAGUCUUCAGGGGCAUUAAAACAAAUGCCUAACAAAAGUUUAUUAUAAGGCACUUGCUCCACCUGAACUCAUUUCAUCGUUAGAAAAAAAUCUAAGAAGUAAAAAUUAAUAUCCUUCCCUUUUCACAAGAUGAUGGAAUCAAGAGCCUUAACAAGUUUUAAUGGCCUGCCAAGGGUCAUUUGUCAACUUCUGAGUCUAAUGUCUAUGUUCUACUCAUGACAUGGCAGUUGUGGUAUAGAGGGAUCUGAUACAUCAUGAAAAUAUAAACCCACAGAUUUUGAUUCUAAGAAAGUGACCCAAGUUGUGCUCAUUAUGGUUUUGCUUAAAAUUAAAGUUUAGAUUGAAAUGAUACCAGUUACGUGUUCUUAAAAACCUGCCAUGAUUUACUUUAGAUGAUGAUUGAGGACCUACUGUGUGCAAGCCACUGGGAUGAACAUCUUAUAUAUAGUUUUUUAUUUCAUCCCCAUAGUUAUCCUAGAGACAGGCAUGAUUCCCUUCUUCUUACAAGUGAAGAAACUAAGGCUCAGAAGCAUUGAGUGACUUGCUCCAAAUCAUAAAAUUAGUGGUGGAGAGAAAAUUUAAAGACAGGUUAUCUGGUUCUGGAAUCUACACUUUUACUAACUGCUCUCAAUGGCCUCUCCUUAGUAUUUGUGCCUUCAUUAAACAAAAUGUUUUGAAAACUUCCAGUGUGCCAAGUACUCUUUUGGGUGCUGAGGAUAUAACUAUACAAAUGUGAGUCAUCUUUUGAAUAUGCUAUUCUUCAACAUUUUUGGACUUAGCUAUUUUAAUAAGUUCUAUACUUGUAGGAAGUUUA
This 1927-nucleotide long non-coding RNA is filed under the name Homo sapiens (human). Its description in RNAcentral is "HSALNT0280136". The record is from RNAcentral. Lineage: Eukaryota; Metazoa; Chordata; Mammalia; Primates; Hominidae.